AAAUUGGCCAUUACUGGAUCAGCUGAUAGGAGUGUUAAAAUCUGGGACCUCCAAGCUGGGAAGUGUAAGAAGACAAUUUGGGUGAGCCCCACUACCUCCAUCAUGUCAGUCAGCUACAGUCAGGGCUUCAUUGCCUGUUCCUAUGGAGAGGUGAUAUGCCUGUAUAAACUGGAAGGAGCAAGUCUGAUCAAAACCUUUGAAGAGCACCAGAAAAGGAUUGAAUGCUUAGAGUUACGCAUCACUGACCCUGUUAAAUUGGAAGGUGUAAUGG
Long non-coding RNA from Lingula anatina, 271 nucleotides. Lineage: Eukaryota; Metazoa; Brachiopoda; Lingulata; Lingulida; Lingulidae. The record is from RefSeq and is a predicted model, not a curated record.